GACAGAGGCCUCGAGCGUUAGGCGGAAUCACUGGGCUUAAAGCGUGUGUAGGCGGGCCCGUAAGUGUCUUGUGAAAUCCCACGGCUCAACCGUGGAACUGCUCGGUAUACUGCUUAUCUUGAGCCACUUAGGGGCUACCGGAACAAAUGGUGGAGCGGUGAAAUGCGUAGAUAUCAUUUGGAACGCCAAUGGUGAAAACAGGUAGCUGGGAGUGUGCUGACGCUGAGACACGAAAGCCAGGGGAGCGAACGGG
RNAcentral lists this ribosomal RNA (253 nucleotides) under uncultured bacterium. RNAcentral's name for it is "partial 16S ribosomal RNA". It matches the Rfam family "Bacterial small subunit ribosomal RNA", at positions 524 to 776 of the family's 1533-position model. The record is from RNAcentral.